UUCUGAUAAGAUAAGAUAAGAUAAAAUAAAAUAAAGGUAAAGAUAAAGGGGCACACAUCCUAAGUAGCAAUUCUACAAGCAACGCUCCUUCCUGACCACCAGAGGGAACCCUUGCCAGAACACUGAUUACUUCCAGCGCAGGCCUGAUUGCUGAUAAAGACCAGACCAUACAGCUGACAGACACAACACUGUUUCAAAAGAAGGCAUGACAGUCCAAAGGCAUGACAGUCCAAAGGCAUGGGCAGCUCCAUUCACAACAAUCUCAUGAGACACUGGCUGACCAUGCAGAUCAAUCCCUGGCAGUGUAAUCCACCGAGUGACGAGACUCCAACCAGGGGUAGAACAUCAGGAUUGACGUUUUGUGUUACAUCUGCCUUCCUGUGAGGUUCUUUUGUGAACAGUUGGGAGUUAACUUCAGGCUGACAGGCUGGGUAUCUGGGUAACAGUCAAGCAGAACAUCUGAAGGGUCCCAAGUUUACUUAGUCCACACCCUGCUAGACUCCCAGCAAAGACAAAGCUGACUUCAGUACCUUGGGGAUUAAGAGGAUUACGGUCCUGAGAAAAUAUCAUGGGUGCACGCCCACAAAAUCCUAUACCCAUCACUCGUUAUUGACUUUCCUCGAGCCCACCCAGACAGCACAGUAUCUAGACCCUGGGGUGGCAUCCUAAUAGAACACCUGGAGGUGUUCUUAGGAGGGGGUUCUAUAAUAAAUCUACCGGCUGCCCUUCCUCCCGGCUCACAGAGAUAAUUCUCACUGGAUUACUAAUUACUUCUGGGUUAUGUCCAUUAUGGACUCAAAAGCCAGUGUUUUUAACAGCUCCACAUGAAGUAUUGUUACUUUAGCUACUCACCAAGUUAUUAUAUUGUGUACUAUUUGCCUUCCUGUGUAUUGACCCAUGUCUUAUCCUGUUUUUGGCUGUUUGGUUUUGUGAUUUUGUACUGUUGCAUCGCUGACUGUCUUUCCAGGAUUUUGGAUUUUUGCUUGUUUUUUCCAGUUGUGCUAUUUUCUUAUUGAUUUGUAUUGUCUGCUCUGAUUCUUUAA
Molecule: long non-coding RNA, 1043 nt
Organism: Tachysurus fulvidraco (yellow catfish)
Lineage: Eukaryota; Metazoa; Chordata; Actinopteri; Siluriformes; Bagridae
Exons: 3
Source: RefSeq, a predicted model, not a curated record